Molecule: long non-coding RNA, 690 nt
Organism: Drosophila santomea
Lineage: Eukaryota; Metazoa; Arthropoda; Insecta; Diptera; Drosophilidae
Exons: 3
Source: RefSeq, a predicted model, not a curated record
ACUAAAUGUGAGUGAGUGGUGCAGUGAUUUUAUGUGGCAGCAGAGGAUACCAAUAAUGUGAUUUCGACCUACUGGAGAAAGUGCCUAAGCUAGCUAUUUUCCAGGAGCUACAACGUGGAGAGAGCUUGGGGAAAGGGUUUUUCGCAGUGCAUGCCGUGCGCUUUUGGGCGGAUGUAACUAAUACGCCUGCUAGCUAAAUACGCCGCGGACAUGGGACAUCAGUCACCGGUGGUCAGUGCGUUCUCCGUCCGGAUUGCGCAAUCCUACGGCUCGUUAUCGGCUGGCUUGGAUUUCCUGUUAUUAGCUUUUCAGCUGCGCAUUUGCAUCGGUUUCGGAUACAGAUACGGAUUCGGAUUCGGAUUCAGAUACGAAUUCAGCCAAUGCAUACAAAACGGCCAAAACGAUCGCCAGCCACUUGGCCAACAGACGACAAAAGGCGGCCGAAAGGGGAAAAUGUUCGGAGGAGAUGGCCAACAAAGGCGGGACAUGCAAAUAAUUGAAUCGAAUUGAAUUGAAUCGAGAUAUUGGCCCAGAGAUACUUAUUAACUGAUUAAAUAAAACAAUGUGCGAACGUUUAUUUCGGUUCGCAUUCAUGGGGCUUUUAUGUGUUGGAUUGCAUAAUUAUAUGGCAUUUGUAAAAUGUUUUAUGACAAUAUUUUGACAUGAUAUAUAGUUUAGAUGAGAAUGAGA